GAAGAGGGGACGGGCGCGGAAGGAAAAGAAGUAGCAGGCUACGGGUAGCCGUCCGCUGUUCCUGCCCUUAGUCGCGGCAGCACCACGUCACCUCGACGACCCUUCUUCCUCCUCCCGCCGACGUAGGGCCCCCCACGACCACCUCCCGCGUGCGUCAGGUACCCCACGCACGUGCCGUUCACGACGGACGGCACCCCGCUGCCGCCUCCCGCCGCCCUUCCGCCACCGCACGGGCCGCCGGCGCCGCCGAGGUGGGAGCCGGCGCGGCACCACGGCCCGCGCCCGGACCCCGACAUCAUGCGGUGCGACUGCCACCUGCCGGUGAUGGGCCUGAGGGGCCCGGCCCGCAGCGUCCUACGCAUGGAGCACCGGUGCGCGAAGCGCCCGCAGGGGCUAGAGGUGGAGAAGCGCCAGAAGCUGCCGGUGCCGCGGACGCCUCGGCGGUCGAGGCCCACGCGCACCCUGCCCGAGGGGGAGGAGGAGGAGGAGGAGCGCCGGCUCCUACGGCGGAGGAGCGCAGCCUGGGGCGCCGCCACAAGGCCCACCGAUACCAGCCCCAGUUGCUCCUCUACGUGCGCCGCCGCCGGCACCUGCUGAGGUACUCGCCCCGGUGGCGGCAGUGCCGCGAGUACCGGCCGCCGCGCGAGGUACACCGGUUGCAGCCCCUGAGCGCGCGGUACCGGCCCCAGACCGCGCUGCCGGCGCAGCGGCGGCUGCUCGACAGCACCCUGGUCCGUGGCAAGGCGCGGCUGCUCGCACGCGCGCAGUACAGACAGCUCGUCCACCUCCCGCAGGUGCUGGGGCUCCGGCUCCCGAACGAGCGGAUGCUCCCCAUGGGGCGGGGCGCAGACCCGGGCCGGGCGCUACCCGAGAUGGGCCCGUGCGGGAAGUGCGUGUAAGAGCCGCUGGAGCGGCGGCUCCCGCAGCCCCAGCUGGGACUCUAGUGGGGCCGGGUGGAGAAGAAGCAGCAGUGUUCGCUACCGCACAAGCUCAAGGAGAGGUCGGUUCUUCAGCAGUUGUACGUAUUUAUCUGCCACGUCUUACAGGCGGGUUGGAGCGGCAUAAACCGAUUCGUCUUAAACAAGAGAUGCGGAUGUUCCACAAACUACUUUUAGGGUCUUCCGACCGUCCCCUCCUAACCAGAUACUCGAAACUAUUCCGACGAGUGGUUACUCGACCUGCACAAAAACAGGACCCAUGAACGUACUACCUUCUUCUUUAACCCAUAAGGAUUUACACGAUGACGUCUAGUUUCCACUUAAGUAGGGUAAAAGAAUGAAGUUAGAGUCCAAUACACUCCUCCAACCGCCGAAUUAACUGGGUCCAAAACAUUGUAUAGUUACCGUCUAAACUAAAACAGAACCCUCAUUGUUCCUUCUUCCCAGUCAAAUACAAGACCUGAUUAGUGUUUUUUCCUACGGUGACUUUUAUAAACUGGACUACACUCCUUUUCUCUCGUAAACAUGACCACCCAAACUAAACAAUUAGGUCACCCCAUGUCGGACCACCUUGGUACGUUUACCGCUAGAAGCAAAGAGUCCGACAUAAUCGCGAAUCGUUUGAAGAAACACGGCGGCGGACGCGAAAGGGGAAGGUAGAGGCGGCGGAGCAGAGGAGGAGGAAGUGGUGGUGGGGGAGGGGACGGAGGCAUGGGGUUCUACCUCCUCGAGGGGUUCCGGUAACACACCGACGACGAGUUCCUGUUCGAGCGGGCCCAGUGGCACCGGCCCCGGCCGCUUCCACAGUACUUGUUCCUGUGGUACCGGCGGAAGUGGUUUUCGCGGGCGUAGAAGUAGGUGACGGAGAGGUGGUGUAACCAACUACGUUUUUGACGUUGACCUCCGGAACAACUAACCUGGGUUUACUGUAGAGAUCCAAAGUCUUAAGUAGCUUCUAACGUCCCAUUGAUUAACGUGGAAUACCUCUUCCUCGUCCGGCACCUCCUCACGUUCAUCGUCCAAGGGCCACUGACGUUUAGACUUUAACUUCUAUCCCGUCUAACAUAACCAAGACGAACGAACGUCUUGAACACCAUACGACCGGUACCUCAUCAGUCUGGGACGGUUCUUUCUCCUCGUCCUCUACUCCUCGUGUUGUAAAUCACAUGUUACCACGUACUACACCGUCAAUCCUAGUCCUGUGCUCCUUGUGCUGUGACCCACAUGUUUUCUAAUCAUCCUUCUUACAAUUAGUGUCACACACUUUUCUUUUACGCUCGAGCCGACUACAUAACGCAUGAUAAACCGACUCAACAAAACAGGAUUUCUAUGUUAAUUCGACUUCUUAAGAAAAACAUACCUUUAAGUGAUACCUUUAGCUUUGUUACGUUACACUACUGAAGGCCGUUACACUACUGGAUCGCUCGCUGUCACCUAAGUCAAGUCUUCGAUAAAGUAACCGGUCUAUCUGUAAACAUACAACAGCGCCCCGGAACUCUGUUGAACAGGAUCUCGACUUACAAAAAAAUCUUUCAUACUAGGUCUAUAACCGUAUUUUUUCGCUGAGAGUGCGGAUAGUAGUUUUGUAGCUCUAUUCCUUUUACGCUCGAGCCGACUACAUAACGCAUGAUAAACCGACUCAACAAAACAGGAUUUCUAUGUUAAUUCGACUUCUUAAGAAAAACAUACCUUUAAGUGAUACCUUUAGCUUUGUUACCAUGAGACGUGUUGGCAAAUGAAAGAACGUAGCCAAGAAGUAAGAUAUUCACUUUGGAAAAGAUAAACCAUUUUAUUCUCANNNNNNNNNNUCGAGUACGAACUUGAAGGUGGUACAUACAAUUGUGAACCUAUGACAUAGUUGGGUCAUUAGGAGUUUAGGAAGUAACAAAAGGGAACGUAACGGAGGUUGAUAAGUCGUCCUGGAAACUUUUCUUACUAAAAAACCAAUAUAUUAAAUAAUACUAAACAAAGCGGAAGCUCUCCAUCUUACAUUUCAUCUGACCAUGAAAGUAAGGCAAUCUAUAAACUAUAUUCACUUAUAUAUGGAAAGCCAUCCACUUACACGAGAGGUAAUUAUAGUGAGUAUAUAAACUCGAAGUCUCUUCCUAUAGAUACGGUAAAACAAAAACAAAAAACUUGUUUUCUCACAACAUACAUAUAGCAAUUCUCCUACCUCGUCGUUUUAAUAGAUGCGUUAAAUCGUCCUAUACCGACUAUACAUGUCUCACCGACCACAAUGAUGAUAAAGAAAGCAACAUUUUGACAUCAGAAUCUUGCGAUACAUAGUACUUACUAGGUACACAUGGUUAGACGCGGAUUUAUAUAAAUACAAGUGAGAAAGAUAUGAACGGAAUGAGAGCGGGGAACGCGGUAGCCGCGUUGCCCAGUAGAUCAGUUAUACUUGUUGGCUCCCUACAGCAGAGCGACAAGCCGAAAUGUAAUACGUAGCUUUCCUUUGUUUACUUUUGUUCGAACCGAACACGAAGACUAAGACGAGGAUCUCAGCUCCAAUUUAAUAGCAAACCAACGCCACGAAGGUACAAGUAGAAUAACAAAAAAAAUGGAAGGGAACAAUCACUAAAAAGUCUCCAAGAACAAAAUUUACUCAAUUCAUAAUGAAAUGAAAACAACGUUUUGGAACACUUAACACUACAAACUCACAAACAAACUAUACAACCCCCUAAUUUACUAAACGGGGUGAAAUGUUCCCCAAUCUAUUAAACGGGGUGUCAACAGAGAUUUACAGGUCACCGGGACCGGGG
Molecule: ribosomal RNA, 3700 nt
Filed under: Triticum aestivum (bread wheat)
Lineage: Eukaryota; Viridiplantae; Streptophyta; Magnoliopsida; Poales; Poaceae
Description: partial small subunit ribosomal RNA
Source: RNAcentral